Molecule: long non-coding RNA, 743 nt
Organism: Planococcus citri (citrus mealybug)
Lineage: Eukaryota; Metazoa; Arthropoda; Insecta; Hemiptera; Pseudococcidae
Exons: 2
Source: RefSeq, a predicted model, not a curated record
CGGGCUUUUUGCCGGAGUACUGGGGGCGGUUCGGGUAAGCCCGCGGGCUUGCGGGCUUACCCGAACCGCGCGGACCACUAGUACCUUACGCACAGGUUGAUCUCGAACACUCGUAUUCCUAGGUUUACUGGUAAUCGUUCCAUAUUGCAAUCAUGUUCGCUCGCGUUUUAAUACAUUUCGUUUUUUCUAUAAUGAUCGUCCACGUAUGUACAGGGUUGAAUAUGACUCAAUCGGAGUACAAGUCUCACGGAGGACCAAAAAUAUGUGAUAAAACCGGCUUUGACACAAUUUGUUCAAACAACUUCUCAAGCGCAACAUCAGGCUCAUGCGGUGGUCACUAUAUAAGAUUUAAUGGUAAUGAUAUUAUAGAAACCAUUCUAGCUUGCAGGAAUUCCGGUUAUGUCACUGUAGGAUGCGUCUACACCUACGACGGAGCCAUUAGAACUACUGGUGUUGACCUAGGUAUCUGUGUUUAAAAUACGAGGUAGGUGCAGUAAAACAAAGAGAAGUUAUUUCUAUGUACCACUGACGAAGGAACCCAAUUUUUUUUUUAAUUUAAUUAUAUUUACGUACACAUACAUAUUAAUCAAAUUUAGUCGUAAGUUUUCCAGUAGAGUAGAGUAGUAUCAAUUGAUUAUUUUAAUUCGUUGAAAUUAUGUAUCUGCGAGUGUAAUUUUAUUGAUUUAUUUUAUUGUUAAGUAUUUAUUUUAUUUCUCAUUUAAAUAUAUUUUACGAGCAUCCCA